UGUGUAGGCGGUUUGCUAAGUCAGUUGUUAAAGAUCACGGCUUAACUGUGGGCAUGCGAUUGAUACUGGCGAACUUGAGGUUGGAAGAGAGGAGUGGAAUUCUCGGAGUAGCGGUAAAAUGCGUAGAUCUCGAGAGGAACACCGAAGGCGAAGGCAGCUCCUUGGUCCAUACCUGACGCUGAGACACGAAAGCGUGGGGAGCAAACAGGAUUAGAUACCCUGGUAGUCCACGCUGUAAACGAUGAUCACUGGAUAUGGGUUCGGGUUACCGAAUCUGUGUCGAAGCUAACGCGUUAAGUGAUCCGCCUGGGAAGUACGGUCGCAAGAUUAAA
Molecule: ribosomal RNA, 332 nt
Filed under: uncultured bacterium
Lineage: Bacteria
Description: bacterial SSU rRNA
Rfam family: Bacterial small subunit ribosomal RNA
Source: RNAcentral